GACGAACGCUGGCGGCGUGCUUAACACAUGCAAGUCGAACGGAAAGGCCCUGCUUUUGUGGGGUGCUCGAGUGGCGAACGGGUGAGUAACACGUGAGUAACCUGCCCUUGACUUUGGGAUAACUUCAGGAAACUGGGGCUAAUACCGGAUAGGAGCUCCUGCUGCAUGGUGGGGGUUGGAAAGUUUCGGCGGUUGGGGAUGGACUCGCGGCUUAUCAGCUUGUUGGUGGGGUAGUGGCUUACCAAGGCUUUGAAGGGUAGCCGGCCUGAGAGGGUGACCGGCCACAUUGGGACUGAGAUACGGCGCAGACUGCUACGGGAGGCAGCAGUGGGGAAUAUGGCACAAUGGGCGGAAGCCUGAUGCAGCAACGCCGGGUGCGGGAUGACGGCCUUCGGGUUGUAAACCGCUUUCGCCUGUGACGAAGCGUGAGUGACGGUAAUGGGUAAAGAAGCACCGGCUAACUACGUG
This 468-nucleotide ribosomal RNA is filed under the name uncultured bacterium. Its description in RNAcentral is "partial 16S ribosomal RNA". It matches the Rfam family "Bacterial small subunit ribosomal RNA", at positions 28 to 507 of the family's 1533-position model. The record is from RNAcentral.